UACGUAGGGAGCAAGCGUUGUCCGGAAUCAUUGGGCGUAAAGCGCGCGUAGGUGGCUUCAUAAGUCCGUUGUGAAAGUCAAAGGCUCAACCUUUGAAAGCCGAUGGAUACUGUGAAGCUAGAGUACGGAAGAGGCGAGUGGAAUUCCUGGUGUAGCGGUGGAAUGCGCAGAUAUCGGGAGGAACACCAGUGGCGAAGGCGGCGACCUGGGCCAAUAUUGACGCUGAGGUGCGAAAGCGUGGGGAGCAAACAGG
This 253-nucleotide ribosomal RNA is filed under the name uncultured bacterium. Its description in RNAcentral is "partial 16S ribosomal RNA". It matches the Rfam family "Bacterial small subunit ribosomal RNA", at positions 524 to 776 of the family's 1533-position model. The record is from RNAcentral.